Molecule: ribosomal RNA, 210 nt
Filed under: Triticum aestivum (bread wheat)
Lineage: Eukaryota; Viridiplantae; Streptophyta; Magnoliopsida; Poales; Poaceae
Description: partial small subunit ribosomal RNA
Source: RNAcentral
AUGUGCAUCCCCAAGGAAAAAGGGGGUAUGGGCUUCCGCGACACUCAUAAUUUCAAUUUGGCACUCCUAGCAAAAUGUUGGUGACUUAGUGAGCAUCACGACUCCUUGUGCACAAGGGUGCUCCGAUCUAAAUAUUACCCAACUAGUGAAUUACUCCAUUGUGGUCUGAAGAAGGGUGCCUCUUUUGUAUGGCAUAGCAUUUGGGCCUGA